Molecule: small nuclear RNA, 193 nt
Organism: Coniosporium apollinis CBS 100218
Lineage: Eukaryota; Fungi; Ascomycota; Dothideomycetes
Rfam family: U2 spliceosomal RNA
About the family: U2 is a small nuclear RNA (snRNA) component of the spliceosome (involved in pre-mRNA splicing).
Source: Rfam
UUAGCUCUCUUUGCCUUUUGGCUUAGAUCAAGUGUAGUAUCUGUUCUUUUCAGUUUAAUCUCUGAAACGAGUCCACGGACUCAUUUAUUGAUUAUACUUAUUUUUGCAAUGCGGAAGACGGCCUCUGCGCUUGCGCAUGUCGCCUUCCACCGUGUCGCCAGUAUUGCACUGCCUCUGGCUGACGCGAACGCCU